This 73-nucleotide transfer RNA is filed under the name Stegodyphus mimosarum. It matches the Rfam family "tRNA". Rfam says of the family: Transfer RNA (tRNA) molecules are approximately 80 nucleotides in length. Their secondary structure includes four short double-helical elements and three loops (D, anti-codon, and T loops). Further hydrogen bonds mediate the characteristic L-shaped molecular structure. tRNAs have two regions of fundamental functional importance: the anti-codon, which is responsible for specific mRNA codon recognition, and the 3' end, to which the tRNAs corresponding amino acid is attached (by aminoacyl-tRNA synthetases). tRNAs cope with the degeneracy of the genetic code in two manners: having more than one tRNA (with a specific anti-codon) for a particular amino acid; and 'wobble' base-pairing, i.e. permitting non-standard base-pairing at the 3rd anti-codon position. The record is from Rfam by way of RNAcentral. Lineage: Eukaryota; Metazoa; Arthropoda; Arachnida; Araneae; Eresidae.
GCCUUCGUAGUGUAGUGGUUAGCACAGUCGGCGCAUGUUUGGGAGGUUCGUGGUUCGAGUCCCGGCGAUGGCA